RNAcentral lists this ribosomal RNA (435 nucleotides) under uncultured bacterium. RNAcentral's name for it is "partial 16S ribosomal RNA". It matches the Rfam family "Bacterial small subunit ribosomal RNA", at positions 29 to 507 of the family's 1533-position model. The record is from RNAcentral.
AGCGAACGCUGGCGGCAGGCUUAACACAUGCAAGUCGAACGGGCAUCUUCGGAUUUCAGUGGCAGACGGGUGAGCAAAACGGGGGAACGCACCUUUCGGAUCGGCCUAACACAGGGAAAUUUGAGCUAAUACCGGAUACGCCCUCUUGGGGAAAGGUUGACUGCCGUAGGAUCGGUCCGCGUCUGAUUAGCUUGUUGGUGGGGUACCGGCCUACCAAGGCGACGAGCAGUAGCUGGUCUGAGCGGAUGAUCAGCCACACUGGGACUGAGGCACGGCCCAGACUCCUACGGAGGGCAGCAGUAGGGAGUAUUGGACGAUGGGCGCAAGCCUAGUCCAGCCAUGCCGCGUAAGUGAUGAAGGCCUUAGUGUUGUAAAUCUCUUUUGUCCGGGACGAUAGUGACGGUACCGGAAGAAUAAGCCCCGGCUAACUUCGUG